Molecule: long non-coding RNA, 379 nt
Filed under: Paramuricea clavata
Lineage: Eukaryota; Metazoa; Cnidaria; Anthozoa; Malacalcyonacea; Plexauridae
Source: RNAcentral
GUCCGAGUUUAGUGGAAAAACUCUCUAUAAAAAAGACCGUUUUACUUGAAAAAAUGGUGAUUUUAUUCUUCUGGGAGCUAUGUAAUACGUUUACACAAAGUUUCCUUCCCAGAAUAUGCCUGUUCGCAGCUAAAGUGUUCGCGCGUGACCGCCAAACGGUAAUUUUCUGUUUUAUUAAAAACAUGAACGGUAUUAAAAAACAUGAACGGAUUUUGAAAGAAUUAAAGUGAGUUUUGACUGUGGUAAUAUACUGGAUUUCCUGCAUUUAGCAGAAUUUUGUGUUGCAUUUUACGAAAAAAAAAAAAAAAAUCCGUCCGCCCGACCUAGAAAAAUUAAAAUGGGUGGACGCUAAACAAGUAAUUUUUUUUAUGUGGCCUAA